UAAAUAGAGUUAGUGAUGGAUCCCUAUUGAAUGGAAAAAUCUCAAUCCUUCAUUAUAGAAAGACCAAAUCUAAGCCCUUCAUUUAUCAUUUACUCUUCUAAAAAUUAAAAAAAAAAUUAACCCUAAAUCCAUAAGAGCAAAUCUCAGCUCUUCAAUCUUUCAUCCGUUGGAUGAAAACACUCUAGAAGACCAAACCAAUCUCUAUUAUUAAAAUCCCUAUUUUUUUGCCCCAUCAAACCCUAAUAACUUAUCGUCUUCUCCUCACCCCUCUUCACUCGUCCUCUCACUCCGAACUGCAACAAAUCGAAAUUCUAUCUAUUUUCUAAGUUAAUUUCCACUUCAUUUAUCUGCAUUUGGUCGAUUACUCGAUUUAGUGUUCUAAUUGGCAAACUUUUGUGUUUGUUAGGUGGUGAAGAAUGAAGAUGAAGGACGACACUUCACGUUAUGUAUUUCCCACUUUCCUCUAUUUUUGUAUGUGAAUGUUUGUCUACUUUUUCAGGAUUUCGGUUUUAGAAUUUUGAAUAUAUAUUUUGUAAAUUUAUAUUCGGAUUAUGAUUCAAUUAAGCUUGAAAUUUUCAUGUUCAAUUUACGGUUGUUGGUUUGAAUUAGUAAACGAACUAAUUAUGCUAAUUGUUAUAGCUUAUUAGGGUUUGAGUUUCAUGAAAUUCGACUUUUCUAAGCUGGAGUUUUCUUGGUUGAAUUUCAUCUAAAUGUGAUGCGAGUCUUGAUAUUUGUGGGUUUCUUCUCAAAAAAUAUCCCAAAUUUGAUUCGGAUCAUAAUUUUACCCUCUUUUAUCUUCUUUUUAUAAAUUCAUUUUUUCCUUUCUUUUUUCUGUCUUAAGUUCUUAGAUUCGGUCAUGGCAGGUUUUACAAGCUCGCUAAAUUCUGGCGAUACCGGUGGUGAUCUUUCCAGCUUAUUUGAAUAGGAAGAAACUUCAAAUCUGGUACCAUACUCAAUUCAAUUUCUUAUACCUUAAUUUUUUUUAUUUUAUUUGUGCUUUGAUUUAGCUCAAUGAUUUCUAAAUAUUUUGAUUUUGGGUUGAUAUCCGUUUUUUUUGUUAUACUCAUGCUUUAUUAUCUUGUUUAUCAUUUUUUUUCAUGAUCAUUUGCCUAUUAAACUCCACUUUCCUCGAUUUACGCUUGUUGGUUUGAAUUAUUAAACGAACUAAUUAUGCUAAUUGUUAUAGCUUAUUAGGGUUUGAGUUUCAUGCAAUUCGACUUUUCUAAGCUGGAGUUUUCUUGGUUGAAUUUCAUCUAAAUGUGAUGCGAGUCUUGAUAUUUGUGCGUUUUUUCUCAAAAAAUAUCCCGAAUUUGAUUGAAUCAUAAUUUUACCCUCUUUUAUCUUCUUUUUAUAAAUUCAUUUUUUCCUUUCUUUUUUCUGUCUUAAGUUCUUAGAUUCGGUCAUGGCCGGUUCUACAAGCUCGCUAAAUUCUGGCGAUACCGGUGGUGAUCUUUCCGGCUCAUUUGUAUAGGAAGAAACUUCAAAUCUGCUAUGUACUUGAUGGAGUGUCGAGAAUGAGGGAACGACCUGUUGGGGAUUUGGUAGCAGGUUUAAAGCAACUUGGCGCAAAUUGAUCCCUGAUUACUUUGAUGAAAACUAGGAGAUGAAAAUUGUUAUCUGCUUGAGUUAUCAUCACAUUCUUUGUACCAUGAUUGUAAUAUUAUUAUAGUAUAGAGUUUACAAAGUAUACUACUAAUAAUUGUAAUAAUUUUUAGGAUCAAAGGAAGUAGUUGCCCGAUGUGAUCUUGGACAAAAAGGAUUUCCCAAUGUGCUUUGCAUAAAUUUGGUCAAACAUAGUUAGCAUAUACUGACUUGAUUCAAUAAAGGGACUUGAUUCAAUA
Long non-coding RNA from Beta vulgaris subsp. vulgaris (sugar beet), 1841 nucleotides. RefSeq lists it as uncharacterized. The transcript is spliced from 2 exons. The record is from RefSeq and is a predicted model, not a curated record. Lineage: Eukaryota; Viridiplantae; Streptophyta; Magnoliopsida; Caryophyllales; Amaranthaceae.